Molecule: ribosomal RNA, 249 nt
Filed under: Triticum aestivum (bread wheat)
Lineage: Eukaryota; Viridiplantae; Streptophyta; Magnoliopsida; Poales; Poaceae
Description: partial small subunit ribosomal RNA
Source: RNAcentral
GUGAGUAUAUUAUGCUGGAACUAUCGUGGUGCAGGCACGUCGGCUAUAGUUUGGGAGCUUCAUGACCUAGCGAAGCAAUAUGCCCCAAUGAUGCUAUGUAUUGUAGAGACACAAAUUUCAAAAGCACGUGUCAAAGGUUUAGCAAAUACUCUUGGUUUUAAUCAUAUUUAUUAUGUUGGUAGUUCUGGUCGAAGUGGUGCACUACUGCAGGAUGCUGCUAACGCGACACUACAAUCAGAGACCCUUUAA